This 2242-nucleotide long non-coding RNA is filed under the name Homo sapiens (human). Lineage: Eukaryota; Metazoa; Chordata; Mammalia; Primates; Hominidae. The record is from RNAcentral.
GAGAUCUGAUGGUUUUAUAAAGGGCAGUUCCCCUGCGCAUGUUUUCGCUCUUGCCUGCUACCAUGUAAGAGGAACCUUUCACCUUUCACCAUGAUUGUGAGGCCUCCCCAGCCACGUGGAACUUAAGGUAUUGUUAUGCUGUCCAGCACAGGCUGGUGUCUAACUCCUGGAUUAAAGCCAUCCUCCCUCCUCAGCUUCUCGAGUAUCUGGGACUACAGGGUAGACCUCAGAUUGCAGAAGACCAUCAGACCCAAGAGUACAACACACCAGGAUCUGGACUUUCCACUGUUUUUAAAGUUUUCACAGGCUGCAAUCUUCAAACUCUGCCACAAGAAAAACUCCAGAAGUAACUCUGAGGUCUGAUGUUUCACAAGGAAUACCUGUAUACUAUCUACAGGAAGUUGCGCAGGUCCUCCAUUUUCUUGCUUUUUUUGUGUUUUACUUCUUGGAUUACCUCUAAAACUCCGAAUCUCAUCAUCAUCAUUCUUGCUUGGAUUUCGUGACCUGGUCACUGACAACUUCCACAUCUUUCUGCUUUAACGUUCAGCACAAGCUAUAAUCAAUAUGUAUCUAUAUAAAGUCAAUACAUAUCCCUGGCUACGAUGUGAGCUUUUAAGAAAUGGGACUAUGUUCAGGAGAUCAAGACCAUCCUGGCUAACACGGUGAAACCCCAUCUCUACUAAAAGUACAAAAAGAAUUAGCCGGGCAUGAUGGCGGGCACCUGUAGUCCCAGCUACUCGGGAGACUGAGUAUAUUCGGCACCUUAAGAAUAUUGGCAGAAACACAACAGUCUUAAUGCAGCUUUCCAGGAAUGCUCCAUUUUUCUCUCUUCUCUCUUCCUCUAAGGCAGCUCUAUACAAGUUUAGCAAAAUUAAAUAUAUGUGGAAGUGUUAGUGGAUUCCUUCAAAGUAAUUAGUGGGUUUUGCUUCAUGAGGAGCAGGAAAAGUGAAAGUGUCAUGUAUCAAUUCCAUUGCUCCUGAGUUUAUUUCCUUGAGCUAAACCAAAAUGAAACAAGUGGACAUGGUAAACAGACUACAAAAAAAAAAAAAAAAAAAAAGAAAAACUGUCUAAAAGUUGACUUUGUUCUGAAUUCCUUUAUAAUUGCCUCAGUGUUUUUAUAUAGUUUAAAUACAACAGACACAGUUUAAAAUAGUGCAUUUCAUUUAUUUUCACCAUCUCCCACCUGUUCGUGAAUGGCACUGGGUAAGAAUAAAGAUGGCUAAACUAAGCAUGGAGAUGGGGAAAAGAUAAUGCUUAUGCAAAUGUCUGAAAAAACUUACAUUAUUUUCUGAACAUAGAAGAGGAGGCUUAAGUACUAAAAAUACAUACAACUGCUCCCUUACAUAUUACUAUAGCUGCUUUUAUAAAACUUUGAAGAAUUUGCCUAUCUCAGUUUAUCUUUUCUCAAAACUUCAGAAUCAAAAUCUUUACAUUAUUCCAGAAAUAAAGGUGGUGUAAAUAAAUAUAUUAGAGCUAUGCAUUCACCUUGUUUUUUUGUUUUUUUAAGACAGGGUCUCACUCUGCCUACUUAGACUGGAGUACGGUGGCAUGAUGUGGGCUCUCUGCAACCCCUCCAUCCCGGGUUCAAGCAAUCCUCCCACCUCAGCCUCCCUUGUAGCUGGGACUACAGGCGCAUGUCACCAUGCCUGCCUUUUUUUUUUUUUUAAUUUUUGUAGAGACAGGGUUUCACCAUGUUGCCCAGGCUAGUCUCGAACUCCUGGGCUCAAGAGAUUUGUGCACCUCAGCCUCCCAAAGUGCUGGGAUUACAGGCAUAAGCCACCACGCCCAUCCCAUUUACCUUGUUUGUUUAUUUUAGUUUUAGAUCAUUUAAAAGAAUUUCUUUUAGCUCCUAAUUAAAUUUCAUUCCCAUAACAUUUUUCUCCUUGCCCUCUAGGCUAAUACUUAAGAAAUAUCUGGGAACUUCUUGGAUAUUUGGGCACAGAUGGAAGAAAGAAGUCGGGGUGAGGGGGUCAGUAUUGAGGAUAAGAUUAGCCAAAAAGAACAAUGUACACAAUUAGGCAAUUAACCAUCCCUGUUCCAUGGGACUGGUGACCACCUCAGUCCUUCAAUCUGACAGUCCUAGGUCUGUGCCUCUUUGAAUUUUCUAUGGGGCAUAAGAGCAGAGGUUCAGAGUCUACAUUACUGAACAAUCUUCCCAGGACACAAUCAAGAGAAGCAGCAAAUUAGAAAGUCUGCUUUCCAGCCGUUUUGUGUUCUAGGGUGCUCUGGUGCCUUAAAAAGA